UUUUGGUUAAUAAUUUAAAGUCUAAUCUGCCCCCUGAUAAUAUAUUAAAGGGCUGCAGUAUUUUGACUGUACAAAGGUAGCAUAAUCAUUAGUCUCUUAAUUGGUGACUUGUAUGAAAGAUUUGAUGAGAUAUAUACUGUCUCUUUUUAAUUUAUAAAAUUUAAUUUUUUAGUUAAAAAGCUAGAAUAUAUUUAAAAGACGAGAAGACCCUAUAGAGUUUUAUAUUUAUAUAAAUUAAAAUUUUUUAUAAACUUUAAAAUUUUAAUUUAUAUAAAUAUUUUGUUGGGGUGAUAAAAAAAUUAAAAUAACUUUUUUUAUAAUUUUACAUUAAUAAAUGAAUAAAUGAUCCGUAAUUUACGAUUAUAAGAUAAAAUUACCUUAGGGAUAACAGCGUAAUUUUUUUUUUUAGUUCAAAUAAGAAAAAAAGUUUGCGACCUCGAUGUUGGAUUAAGAUAAAAUUUAAAUGCAAAAGUUUAAAAUUUUUGAUCUG
Molecule: ribosomal RNA, 490 nt
Filed under: Parnassius nomion gabrieli
Lineage: Eukaryota; Metazoa; Arthropoda; Insecta; Lepidoptera; Papilionidae
Description: partial 16S ribosomal RNA
Source: RNAcentral